Molecule: ribosomal RNA, 253 nt
Filed under: uncultured bacterium
Lineage: Bacteria
Description: partial 16S ribosomal RNA
Rfam family: Bacterial small subunit ribosomal RNA
Source: RNAcentral
UACGUAGGGGGCAAGCGUUGUCCGGAUUUAUUGGGCGUAAAGAGCGUGUAGGCGGCCAGCCAGGUCCGUUGUGAAAACUCGAGGCUCAACCUCGAGACGUCGAUGGAAACCGUCUGGCUAGAGUCCGGAAGAGGAGUGUGGAAUUCCUGGUGUAGCGGUGAAAUGCGCAGAUAUCAGGAAGAACACCUAUGGCGAAGGCAGCACUCUGGGACGGUACUGACGCUGAGACGCGAAAGCGUGGGGAGCGAACAGG